GUGCAUCUAUUUGACAGACCUGAAGCAGUUAACAGUCUGCUUCUAAGGUUUCUACUACAGAUGCAAGAAAAAAGUUUCCUUGCGCUUUCUGUCUGUCUUAUUGUGGCAGCCAAGAUUGAAUAAAGGAAUACAGAG
Meriones unguiculatus (Mongolian gerbil) is the source of this 135-nucleotide small nucleolar RNA. NCBI's taxonomy places the organism in Eukaryota, Metazoa, Chordata, Mammalia, Rodentia, Muridae. The record is from Ensembl.